This 264-nucleotide signal recognition particle RNA is filed under the name Candidatus Dormiibacterota bacterium. Its description in RNAcentral is "signal recognition particle sRNA large type". It matches the Rfam family "Bacterial large signal recognition particle RNA". Rfam says of the family: The signal recognition particle (SRP) is a universally conserved ribonucleoprotein involved in the co-translational targeting of proteins to membranes. Archaeal SRP consists of a 7S RNA and homologues of the eukaryotic SRP19 and SRP54 proteins. Lineage: Bacteria; Bacillati; Candidatus Dormiibacterota. The record is from RNAcentral.
CCGCGCUAGACGGGGAGAUGGCGGUUCCCUGUACCGGCAAUCCGCCUUAGCCGGGUCGAAUGCCCUUCGUGAGGUCUGGCCUCGCGGACCGGGUCGGUGUGGAACGUGUUGAAGGCCGGGACCUGCGCAGCGCGGGUCUCCGAACCCCGUCAGGUCCGGAAGGAAGCAGCGGUAAGGAGGCAGCCCGUGGGUGCCGCAGACAUCCGGGCCGGAGCGGGAAGCAUCGGCGCCGCCGGGAGCGUCGGAUCGAAGAGGGGUGCGCGG